CAAGGAAUUUAGUUUCCUGGAGGAAGCCUUUCAAACCAUAUAAAAGAUCACACGGUCCAAGGAUACAGACAUCUACUCAAGGACUCUGCCUACCACACAGGUUCCUCUUGGCAAUUGCGGAUUCACAGCUUGAUAGUCAAAAGGAUGUGUUCUCGUCAGGAAAAAGAUGGCUGCUGUCGUCCUCAGGAUUCCUCAAGUUACCGGGGUGGAAGUUCUUGCUGUGGCUCCAGUGAUAAUAUUGACUAUGAUGUGAAACCUCUGCCUACUUGGGGAAAGCAACCUCCAAUGCUGGUCCCUGCUCCUGGCCAAAGUCAAGCUCCUGUGUUUGUCCCUCUUCCUAGCCAAAAACAACCUGGUGUGUUUGUACCGACUCCUGGCCCGAAACAACCUGGUGUGUUCGUCCCGACUCCUGGUCCGAAACAACCUGGUGUGUUCGUCCCGACUCCUGGCCCGAAACAACCUGGUGUGUUCGUCCCAACUCCUGGCCAAAACCAGCCUCCUGUGUUCGUCCCAGCUCCUGGCCCAAAACAACCUGGUGUGUUUGUCCCAGUUCCUGAACAACCCCCUUUCCAACCCCAGAUGAGGCAGCAGGUUAAGCAGCCUCCCCAAUGGCCUUCUCAGCUAAAGUAGAUAAUGGAAAAAUGCAUGAUUCGAGAUCGAAUUGCUGCAGGAUUCUCUUCUGUUCAACCUGCCGAAACAUUCUGCUUGUAUAAUAUUUACAUUCUAUCAUAAAAUUACAACAGUGCUCUUCUCUACAGAAAUGCAUGUACUUUAUAUCCACUCUGUGAUACUUCAUUAAUACAAUCCAUCUCCCAUUUUAGCCCUUAAGUGGCCAAUGAGAAUCAUUAAAAUAUAUAUUUCAUUCCGA
Molecule: long non-coding RNA, 868 nt
Organism: Eublepharis macularius
Lineage: Eukaryota; Metazoa; Chordata; Lepidosauria; Squamata; Eublepharidae
Exons: 2
Source: RefSeq, a predicted model, not a curated record